CCUCUCUGCUUUGUGCCUCCUCUAAGUGUGCGCGGCGGAUCUUUGCUGUGGCGCUUGUGUUCCAGUCGAGCGGACUUCCGUCGAAUUGGCCCACCUGCGACCGCUCGUGCUUUCGGAUGCAGAAUUUGUUGCCUGUGCAGGGUUCUCCAGCCCUGCAAUAGCCCCGUUCGAGUGAUCUUUGCUCGAUAAGAAUGACCUCUGCGCCUGACUUGUCCCCUCGUCUCUUUGACGUUGGGGAUUGUUCGGGUUGCGGUGUCGCAAAGGAAUGCUACCUGGUUGAUCCUGCCAGUAGUCA
Molecule: unclassified non-coding RNA, 295 nt
Filed under: Dovyalis hebecarpa
Lineage: Eukaryota; Viridiplantae; Streptophyta; Magnoliopsida; Malpighiales; Salicaceae
Description: partial external transcribed spacer
Source: RNAcentral